UAUCUCUGUAGAGUCUGCAUAUCAAUAAGCGGAGGAAAAGAAACUAACAAGGAUUCCCUUAGUAACGGCGAGUGAAGCGGGAAGAGCUCAAAUUUGAAAUCUUCAAGGUUCUACCUUGACGAAUUGUAGUUUAAAGAAGUGUUUUCUGUUAGAUGAGUAGCAAAAGUUCCUUGGAAUGGGACAUCAUAGAGGGUGAGAAUCCCGUAUUUGGUUAUUCAUUCUAGCUUUGUGAUACACUUUCAAAGAGUCGGAUUGUUUGGGAAUGCAGUCCAAAAUGGGUGGUAAAUUUCAUCUAAAGCUAAAUAUUGGCGAGAGACCGAUAGCGAACAAGUACCGUGAGGGAAAGAUGAAAAGAACUUUGAAAAGAGAGUUAAACAGUACGUGAAAUUGUCAAAAGGGAAGCGUUUGACACCAGUGUUGUUUUUCCAAAAAUCAAUUACGAAUGGCAUUGAUUUUGUGUUGUAUUGACCUUAUCAGCUUUCUGCACUUUUUUCGAGUCUUUCUUAAUGCACUUUUUGGUUAACAAGUCAACAUCAAUUUCUUUUGUUGUAAAAGAGUAUUCGGAAGGUGGCUUUCUUUUCGGAGAGAAGUGUUUAUAGCCCUAUACUUCUACAAUCGGAGAGAUUGAGGUCUGCAGCGUAGAUCCUUCGGGGUUAGAUACACUUGUGCUAAGUUGUAGCUUUUCAUAGACAACUUGUUGACUAUGUUUAGUCAUGCGGCUUACUCGCUUGUGCUAUUUUACCUACGCUUAGGAUGUUGACUGAUAUGUAGUCGU
RNAcentral lists this ribosomal RNA (775 nucleotides) under uncultured Neocallimastigales. RNAcentral's name for it is "partial large subunit ribosomal RNA". It matches the Rfam family "Eukaryotic large subunit ribosomal RNA", at positions 24 to 643 of the family's 3401-position model. The record is from RNAcentral. Lineage: Eukaryota; Fungi; Neocallimastigomycota; Neocallimastigomycetes; Neocallimastigales.